AUUGAACGCUGGCGGCAGGCCUAACACAUGCAAGUCGAGCGAGCGGCGGACGGGUGAGUAAUGUAUGGGGAUCUGCCAGAUAGAGGGGGAUAACUACUGGAAACGGGGGCUAAUAACGCAUACUAUCGGAUGAACCCAGAUGGGAUUAGCUAGUAGGUGGGGUAAAGGCUCACCUAGUCGACGAUCUCUAGCUGGUCUGAGAGGAUGAUCAGCCACACUGGGGCUGAGUCACGGCCCAGACUCCUACGGGAGGCAGCAGUGGGGAAGAGUGCACAAUGGGCGCAGGCCUGAUGCAGCCAUGCCGCGUGUAUGCAGAAGGCCUUAGGGUUGUAAAGUACUUUCCGCGGGGAGGCGUUACCCGCAGAAGAGGCACCGGCUGACUCCGUGCCAGCCGCCGCGGUAAUAC
RNAcentral lists this ribosomal RNA (406 nucleotides) under uncultured bacterium. RNAcentral describes it as "partial 16S ribosomal RNA". It matches the Rfam family "Bacterial small subunit ribosomal RNA", at positions 29 to 526 of the family's 1533-position model. The record is from RNAcentral.